GCCCUGACAUUUUCGCUUUUAAACAUCAAAGAGGGGGUCAGUCGGGUUCUAAUGAGUGUAUCUUUAGGUUCACCGUACAGAAGAAGGGUCAAACUACCACCAGGGUCAUAAAACUACUCCUGAAAAUGCCCACAACUCCUACGAAAGUCUUGUCAAAUAUGUGUUCUUGGGCGGCGAAAUGUCUUAUGAUACGACCCAUUAGACAGACAUGAAAAGGCCGAUUAUAUCAUGACGAAGGCAACUAUACACAAAUUGGGCGUCACAUGUUGAAAAAUUGAUGUAGACAAAAAAAACAAAA
Long non-coding RNA from Eriocheir sinensis (Chinese mitten crab), 298 nucleotides. RefSeq lists it as uncharacterized. The record is from RefSeq and is a predicted model, not a curated record. Lineage: Eukaryota; Metazoa; Arthropoda; Malacostraca; Decapoda; Varunidae. The transcript is spliced from 2 exons.